RNAcentral lists this ribosomal RNA (885 nucleotides) under uncultured archaeon. RNAcentral's name for it is "bacterial SSU rRNA". It matches the Rfam family "Archaeal small subunit ribosomal RNA", at positions 29 to 922 of the family's 1478-position model. The record is from RNAcentral.
GGAAUUGGAAUGAUCUAAGCAUGCGAGUCAUUGUAGUAAUACAAGGCAGACGGCUCAGUAACGCGUAGUCAACCUACCCUAAGGACGGGGAUAACCUCGGGAAACUGAGAAUAAUACCCGAUAGAACAUAGCUCCUGUAAUGGUUUAUGUUUCAAAUAAUUUAUUGCCCUAGGAUGGGACUGCGGCCUAUCAGUUUGUUGGUGAGGUAAUGGCCCACCAAGACUAUUACAGGUACGGGCUCUGAGAGGAGUGGCCCGGAGAUGGGUACUGAGACACGGACCCAGGCCCUAUGGGGCGCAGCAGGCGAGAAAACUUUGCAAUGUGCGAAAGCACGACAAGGUUAAUCCGAGUGGUUUCUGCUAAAGGAACCUUUUGUCAGUCCUAGAAACACUGAUGAAUAAGGGGUGGGCAAGUUCUGGUGUCAGCCGCCGCGGUAAAACCAGCACCUCAAGUGGUCAGGAUGAUUAUUGGGCCUAAAGCAUCCGUAGCCGGCUUUGUAAGUUUUCGGUUAAAUCCAUGCGCUCAACGUAUGGGCUGCCGGGAAUACUGCAAAGCUAGGGAGUGGGAGAGGUAGACGGUACUCGGUAGGAAGGGGUAAAAUCCUUUGAUCUAUUGAUGACCACCUGUGGCGAAGGCGGUCUACCAGAACACGUCCGACGGUGAGGGAUGAAAGCUGGGGGAGCAAACCGGAUUAGAUACCCGGGUAGUCCCAGCUGUAAACUAUGCAAACUCAGUGAUGCAUUGGCUUGAUGCCAAUGCAGUGCUGCAGGGAAGCCGUUAAGUUUGCCGCCUGGGAAGUACGUACGCAAGUAUGAAACUUAAAGGAAUUGGCGGGGGAGCACCACAAGGGGUGAAGCCUGCGGUUCAAUUGGAUUCAACGCCGGG